CUCACCUUGACUAUAUGGUUAGAAAGAAGGGUUGGUGUGUACAAGCAACUGAGGACAUUCAGCAGGAAGAAAAAACCCUUUUGACUGCCUUCAUCUGAUUUUCUCAACUCACACCCCCUUGGCUAUGGCAGGUACUCAGAGCAGCUGGAUACAGGCUCCCACAGCCAGACACCUGCAUCACCAGGCUCAGCGGGGCCUGCCACCCUCCUCACUGCUGACACCCAGGAUGAUGUUCUCCAGCCCUGUCUGCACCCUUAGCUGUGACCGGCCCCGAACCACGGCCUGCCAAAGCAGGAGACCCUCACAGUCCUGCCCCUAACAGGGAGAAUCUUCCUUGUUUUCCUGCCUGAAGGACAAGAAGGUUUUCAGGUUGCAUCAGCACCAGCUGGCUGACAGCCAGUUCCAAAACGCUCAGGCCGCCUCAUUCUCCAUGAGACGCUACAGCACUUCUCCUUCGUCUUCAGCACAAACAGCUGAAAUUCCUCACUGGGCUUGAUCAACAGUGGGAAGAUCUGGAGACUCGUUUGGUGCAGGAGAUGGGGAGGAAAAGACCGUCCUGGUCAAUGAGGACUCCAGCCUGACUUUGAAGAACUCCUUCCAAAGGACCAGGCUCGAUCUGAAAAGAAAGUCCAUAGCUGCUGUGCCCAGGACAAUAUGAGAGUGGAAGUUAAGGCGUGAAAAUCAGAGUGUGCUU
Balaenoptera musculus (blue whale) is the source of this 694-nucleotide long non-coding RNA. RefSeq lists it as uncharacterized. NCBI's taxonomy places the organism in Eukaryota, Metazoa, Chordata, Mammalia, Artiodactyla, Balaenopteridae. The record is from RefSeq and is a predicted model, not a curated record. The transcript has 3 exons.